AGUGAACGCUGGCGGUAGGCCUAACACAUGCCAGUCGAACGGCAGCACAGUAAGAGCUUGCUCUUACGGGUGGCGAGUGGCGGACGGGUGAGGAAUACAUCGGAAUCUACUUUUUCGUGGGGGAUAACGUAGGGAAACUUACGCUAAUACCGCAUACGACCUACGGGUGAAAGCAGGGGAUCUUCGGACCUUGCGCGAUUGAAUGAGCCGAUGUCGGAUUAGCUAGUUGGCGGGGUAAAGGCCCACCAAGGCGACGAUCCGUAGCUGGUCUGAGAGGAUGACCAGCCAAUCAGGCAUGGAGACACGGUCCAGAGGGCGGAGUGGGGCAGCAGUGAGGAAUAGGGGACAAUGGGCGCAGCCGUGAUCCAGGCGUACCGCGUGGGUGAAGCAGGCCGUGGUGUUGUAAAGCCUUUUGGUUGGGAAAGAAAAGCAGCACGGUAAUGCCCCGCUGUGCUGCCGGUAACCAAAGAAGAAGCACAGGCAACCGUCGUGCCAGCAGCCGCGGUAAGAGCGGAAGCGCACACGCUGAAC
RNAcentral lists this ribosomal RNA (531 nucleotides) under uncultured bacterium. RNAcentral's name for it is "partial 16S ribosomal RNA". It matches the Rfam family "Bacterial small subunit ribosomal RNA", at positions 34 to 540 of the family's 1533-position model. The record is from RNAcentral.